GACGAACGCUGGCGGCGUGCUUAACACAUGCAAGUCGAACGAUGAAGAAAAGAAUUGAAGCUUCGGCAGAAAUUCAUUUCGGAUUAGUGGCAGACGGGUGAGUAACGCGUGAGCAACCUACCUCUUACAAAGGGAUAGCCUCGGGAAACCGGGAUUAAUACCAUAUAACAUUGCGACGAAGCAUUUCGAUGCAAUCAAAGCUACGGCGGUAAGAGAUGGGCUCGCGUCCCAUUAACCAGAUGGUGAGGUAACGGCUCACCAUAGUAACGAUGGGUAACCGGCCUGAGAGGGUGAACGGUCACACUGGAACUGAGACACGGUCCAGACUCCUACGGGAGGCAGCAGUGGGGAAUAUUGCACAAUGGAGGGAACUCUGAUGCAGCGAUGCCGCGUGAGUGAUGAAGGAAUUCGUUUCGUAAAACUCUGUUCUAUGGGAAGAAAAGGACUGUACCAUAGGAGAAAGCUCCGGCUAAAUACGUG
RNAcentral lists this ribosomal RNA (480 nucleotides) under uncultured bacterium. Its description in RNAcentral is "partial 16S ribosomal RNA". It matches the Rfam family "Bacterial small subunit ribosomal RNA", at positions 28 to 507 of the family's 1533-position model. The record is from RNAcentral.